This 318-nucleotide unclassified non-coding RNA is filed under the name uncultured bacterium. RNAcentral's name for it is "partial contains 16S ribosomal RNA, 16S-23S ribosomal RNA intergenic spacer, and 23S ribosomal RNA". The stretch from base 205 to 318 matches the Rfam family "Bacterial large subunit ribosomal RNA", at positions 1 to 114 of the family's 2925-position model. The record is from RNAcentral.
UCUAAGGAAUAAAACGGAACCUACACAUCGGAGAAACUUUGUUUAGUUUUGAGGGGUUUACCCUCAGAGCUUGUACUUUGAAAACUAAAUACUAUCUAAUUUCUUUAUUAACAAAACAAUAAACCGAGAACACCGCGUUAUUUGAGUUUUAAUUAACGAAUUAUAAUCGCUAACCCAAUUAAUCAGACAAUCUUUGAUUGUUUAGGUUAAGUUAUGAAGGGCGCAUGGUGAAUGCCUUGGUACUAGGAGCCGAUGAAGGACGGGACUAACACCGAUAUGCUUCGGGGAGCGGUAAGUACGCUUUGAUCCGGAGAUUUC